AACGAACGCUGGCAGCAUGCCUAACACAUGCAAGUCGAACGAGACCUUCGGGUCUAGUGGCGCACGGGUGCGUAACGCGUGGGAACCUGCCCUUAGGUUCGGAAUAACUCCCCGAAAGGGGUGCUAAUACCGGAUAAUGUCUUCGGACCAAAGAUUUAUCGCCUUUGGAUGGGCCCGCGUUGGAUUAGCUAGUUGGUAGGGUAAAAGCCUACCAAGGCGACGAUCCAUAGCUGGUCUGAGAGGAUGAUCAGCCACACUGGGACUGAGACACGGCCCAGACUCCUACGGGAGGCAGCAGUGGGGAAUAUUGGACAGUGGGCGAAAGCCUGAUCCAGCAAUGCCGCGUGAGUGAUGAAGGCCUUAGGGUUGUAAAGCUCUUUUACCCGGGAUGAUAAUGACAGUACCGGGAGAAUAAGCUCCGGCUAACUCCGUG
RNAcentral lists this ribosomal RNA (433 nucleotides) under uncultured bacterium. RNAcentral describes it as "partial 16S ribosomal RNA". It matches the Rfam family "Bacterial small subunit ribosomal RNA", at positions 29 to 507 of the family's 1533-position model. The record is from RNAcentral.